RNAcentral lists this ribosomal RNA (460 nucleotides) under uncultured bacterium. Its description in RNAcentral is "partial 16S ribosomal RNA". It matches the Rfam family "Bacterial small subunit ribosomal RNA", at positions 338 to 795 of the family's 1533-position model. The record is from RNAcentral.
CCUACGGGAGGCAGCAGUGAGGAAUAUUGGUCAAUGGCCGUAAGGCUGAACCAGCCAAGUCGCGUGAAGGAAGAAGGAUCUAUGGUUUGUAAACUUCUUUUAUAGGGGAAUAAAGGUAUCCACGUGUGGAUUUUUGCAUGUACCCUAUGAAUAAGCAUCGGCUAACUCCGUGCCAGCAGCCGCGGUAAUACGGAGGAUGCGAGCGUUAUCCGGAUUUAUUGGGUUUAAAGGGUGCGUAGGUUGGUUUUUAAGUCAGCGGUGAAAGUUUGUGGCUCAACCAUAAAAUUGCCGUUGAAACUGGAAGACUUGAGUGUGUUUGAGGUAGGCGGAAUGCGUGGUGUAGCGGUGAAAUGCAUAGAUAUCACGCAGAACUCCGAUUGCGAAGGCAGCUUACUAAGCCAUAACUGACACUGAAGCACGAAAGUGUGGGGAUCAAACAGGAUUAGAUACCCUUGUAGUC